UUAAUUAUAAUAAUAUGAAUAUAAUGAACUGAGUUGGAAAGACCAAAAAUAAUUUAAAGUAGAGAUUAUAAUGUUUUAGAAGAGGCGUAAAAUGAUCUAAAUAAUAAAUCGAAUCAAGCUUAAGCACAUCAGCAAGGAAAGGCAAGCUCUUUACCUAAAUUCUUUUUCCCUUCCUAGACAACAGUUUAAAGAAACUCAGAUUCUCAUGAGAUAGUGAAAGA
This 221-nucleotide unclassified non-coding RNA is filed under the name Hevea brasiliensis (rubber tree). Lineage: Eukaryota; Viridiplantae; Streptophyta; Magnoliopsida; Malpighiales; Euphorbiaceae. The record is from RNAcentral.